RNAcentral lists this ribosomal RNA (256 nucleotides) under uncultured bacterium. RNAcentral describes it as "partial 16S ribosomal RNA". It matches the Rfam family "Bacterial small subunit ribosomal RNA", at positions 524 to 776 of the family's 1533-position model. The record is from RNAcentral.
UACGGGGGGGGGCAAGCGUUGUUCGGAAUUACUGGGCGUAAAGGGCUCGUAGGCGGCCAACUAAGUCAGACGUGAAAUCCCUCGGACUUAACCGGGGGAACUGCAUCUGAUACUGGAUGGCUUGAGUUCGGGAGAGGGAUGCGGAAUUCCAGGUGGAGCGGUGAAAUGCGUAGAGAUCUGGAGGAACACCAAAGGCGAAGGCAGCAUUCUGGCAAGUACCUGACGCUCAGGGGCGAAAGCUAGGGGAGCGAACGGG